GUGCACAUCAAAAUUAUAAGAUUUAUAGGUCAUACUUAAAAGAUUAAAGGAAAACUGUAUUUUUGGAUGUAAAACCUUUAUUAAUAGAAUACUUAUUUAAAAUUCAUCAUAAAAUAACCUCUGAUAAUAUCUUCUGCUCACAAAAUCCACCUGAAAAACUAAAGACAUCACGUUGGAAAUACUUUUGAUUAGGAUUGUUGUUGAUCUGUUGGCUUUCUAUUGUUGUGUAAAAAGUUACCUGUAUGGCAUUCAAUCUUAUAACACUUUGCUGCACAUAUAUAAACCAAUUUUUCCAUGAUUUCCAUCUUUCUCCUAGAAUUCAAGACUCUUAGAGGAGGAAACAAUUUUUUACUCAUUUUGGUAGUCAUAGUAACCUGUACAGUAUUGAGGGAAUAAUAGAUAAUUCAUGCUUUUUCAUAAAGGAAGGAAACAAGAAGAGUGAAUGAGAACCUCAGUCCUCAGAACUUCAGUUUUCUGAAUGAAGGUGACAUUAUGUAUUAUUCAGAGUUAACGCAGGACCAAGAUUGCCAUUAACUCUAGUUUUUUUUGCCAGUAUAGCUCAAGGGAAAUCAGGAUGUUAGGAAAACCGACUUUGACGGCGCGUACUGAAACGCUCAGAAUUCUAUGGCAUGGUUCAGCAUGAGAAAGUUGCAGACCUGUGACAAUGUGACAGUGGUCCUACUUCAUGGCGACAGAAUGCAGCUGUGGUGUUCAGAAGAAAGUGCCUUGGCCAGUACUGCUCAACAGUUCACCUGGGAUAGUGUCGGAGGGAAAAGUUACCCACCUGAUAGAUACCUGGCCUUUUCACCCACAUGGGAUGUCAGCAAGGCUAAAAAGCCUGAAAAUCUCCUGUGGUCACUGAUCCACUCCAGAGGAAGCACCAUCAGAUUGAUUCACUGUCUGGAAAGGCAAGCUGUGGUCAGAUGCUAGAGAUCCUUGAAGUCUGCAUAAUGAUGUAGUACAAUUAAGACUGUAGACAAUGGGAGCCACUGAAAAUUCCAGAGCAUCAGUGUGUCAUGUCUGCUUUGACAGAUGUGGUUAGGGUGGAGAAAAGAAGACUCUUGGCAGUGAGACAAGUGAAGAUAGAAAACGAAGCAAGAAGAGGCAAGCAAUUCCGAAGGAGGCGAGAAGUGGAGGGGAGGAUAGACGUGAAGAGCAGUGGUGGGUACGUGGACCUCUCCUUCAUCUCCCCAACUGACUCAUGACCAAGAGUCAAGUUUUCAAGGCUUGACACGUAGAAGGACAAUGUUGGUCCAAAUACUACCAGCCUCAGCAGACUAACAGGAUGCUGAGGAUGGAGAAGAAGAUGAGCUUUGACACAAACUUGGGAGACUUAAACUCUUUCUCCGUUGUUUCACUGAAGAAAGGGCCCCACUUCAAAUUCCUGCAGAGAAAUUUGCAGCUCAUAGCUGCCAGUCUGGGGACACCUACAGAGAGGCAGUGCAUUGAGGUGGCUCCCUGGGUUUGAAACCUGACUUAGAAUUUUUCUAGCUUAAUAGAGAUGUUAAGGACCCUUAACAUCUGUGCCUACAUUUCCUCACCUGUAAAAUUGAAAUAAAAAUGAUGCCCACAUCACAGGGUUGCGAUAGAUGAAAUGCACUGAAACAUAAAAAUACUCAGAAGCAUUCAUAGGGCACAAUAAGUACUUAAUAUGUAGUUGCUAUUCUAUUAUUUUACUGUUUAUGGAUAGCUCAUUCCUCAUUGCCUAGGUCAUAGGUCACAGCCAAACAUCACUGGACUGGGAGUCUGGAAAUCUUGUU
Molecule: long non-coding RNA, 1760 nt
Organism: Callithrix jacchus (white-tufted-ear marmoset)
Lineage: Eukaryota; Metazoa; Chordata; Mammalia; Primates; Cebidae
Source: Ensembl